GAUGAACGCUGGCGGCGUGCUUAACGCAUGCAAGUCGAACGGGAAACUUUUCAUUGAAGCUUCGGCAGAUUUGGUCUGUUUCUAGUGGCGGACGGGUGAGUAACGCGUGGGUAACCUGCCUUAUACAGGGGGAUAACAACCAGAAAUGGUUGCUAAUACCGCAUAAGCGCACAGGAUCGCAUGGUCUGGUGUGAAAAACUCCGGUGGUAUAAGAUGGACCCGCGUUGGAUUAGCUAGUUGGCAGGGUAACGGCCUACCAAGGCAACGAUCCAUAGCCGGCCUGGGAGGGGGAACGGCCACAUUGGGACUGAGACACGGCCCAGACUCCUACGGGAGGCAGCAGUGGGGAAUAUUGCACAAUGGGGGAAACCCUGAUGCAGCGACGCCGCGUGAAGGAAGAAGUAUCUCGGUAUGUAAACCGCUUUCAGCAGGGAAGAAGCGAAAGUGACGGUACCUGCAGAAGAAGCACCGGCUAACUAUGUGCCAGCAGCCGCCGUAA
RNAcentral lists this ribosomal RNA (499 nucleotides) under uncultured bacterium. Its description in RNAcentral is "partial 16S ribosomal RNA". It matches the Rfam family "Bacterial small subunit ribosomal RNA", at positions 28 to 523 of the family's 1533-position model. The record is from RNAcentral.